Molecule: transfer RNA, 94 nt
Filed under: Planotetraspora thailandica
Lineage: Bacteria; Bacillati; Actinomycetota; Actinomycetes; Streptosporangiales; Streptosporangiaceae
Description: tRNA-Ser
Source: RNAcentral
CUGUGGGUGUCGAAGAGGAGUUCCUCGUCGUCGACCUCGAGAGCCGGCGGCUGGCCCCGCUGGCCCAGGCCGUUCUGAACCGGCUCCCGCAGAC